Molecule: non-coding RNA, 80 nt
Organism: Ceratotherium simum simum (southern white rhinoceros)
Lineage: Eukaryota; Metazoa; Chordata; Mammalia; Perissodactyla; Rhinocerotidae
Source: RefSeq, a predicted model, not a curated record
ACAGAGAAUUAUCCAGUCCCAAAGGUCAACAGUGCUGAGUUGGAGAGAACCUGGUCUAACUGGUAUGUAAGUUGGUAGAG